AAGCUGGAUUCGCUAGUAAUCGCGCAUCAGCCAUGGCGCGGUGAAUACGUUCCCGGGCCUUGUACACACCGCCCGUCAAGCCAUGGGAGCCGGGAGUGCCUGAAGGCCGUGACCGCAAGGAGCGGCCUAAGGUAAAACUGGUGACUGGGGCUAAGUCGUAACAAGGUAAC
Molecule: ribosomal RNA, 170 nt
Filed under: uncultured bacterium
Lineage: Bacteria
Description: partial 16S ribosomal RNA
Rfam family: Bacterial small subunit ribosomal RNA
Source: RNAcentral